Bubalus bubalis (water buffalo) is the source of this 3923-nucleotide long non-coding RNA. RefSeq lists it as uncharacterized. The record is from RefSeq and is a predicted model, not a curated record. Lineage: Eukaryota; Metazoa; Chordata; Mammalia; Artiodactyla; Bovidae. The transcript is spliced from 3 exons.
GUUGGGUUGAGAAGGAAGCAGUCGCGGCUUUGGCCUUGGUGAGGGGGUGGGGUCAGGUUUCUCCGGAGGGGGCGUGUCUAGGACUUGCAGGAGCGGCCCCUGUCGCUGGAGACUGACUGCGGACCUGGGGGAUUUGGUGCCCCACAGUAUGCAGAAUCUUCCUUUUCCAAUCAGGGAAGGAACCUGUACCCCCUGGAGUGGAAGCAUGGAGUCUUAACCACUGGAUCACCAGGGAAGUCCCCACCAGCACAUUUAAUAUCUUCCAGGAAGAGUCUCCAGAGAAGGCAAUGGCACCCCACUCCAGUACUCUUGCCUGGAAAAUCCCAUGGAUGGAGGAGCCUGUACCUUCUGGAAAAGUCAUGAAGUGAGUCUCAAAACUGUCCACUGAAACCAAGAGUGGGAGAAGCAUUUAUCUGUCAGCUCCGGUCUACCUUAGAUCAAACGUUAAGGCCCCUAGCCAUUAACUACUCCACACUUCCCAAAUGCACAGUUGUGACUGCCAAGCUGACUGCCACAUCAGAGAAGUCCUGAGGCAGGAAGGAAGAGGAGAGGCGCUGCCACGUUGGACUUGCCCACAGUUCAUCGGACUGUUUAGAACAGGUUGCUGCAGCAGUGGUUGGAAUAAGAGGCUAAAGGAUUUGAAAUGGUGACAGAAGAUACACAGAUGGUGUCCAUCAGUCCAGUCUUUGUACCACUCAUAACUGCUUGGCUAUUUAAGUCUAGUCCUUUACAGUCCCCUUCAAGGUGAUGGAUACCGGCAAUCUCUGCAAAGACUUAAUAUAAGAGAGUUGAUGCAAUAAGCUUCAGUCCUUGCUGCUACACUGAUGCCAAGACUGUACUUGUUCUCUUGAGCUCCCCGCUCUACUCCCCAUCCUUACCUCCCUUCACCCUUGGCCAGCACAUCACCUGAUCUAGGUUGUUGGCUCAGUGAGGCAACUGGAACCUUCAGCUUUUGUUUCCCUCCCACUGAUUGGGCCGUGAUUGUGUGAUUGCCUGUUCAACUUAUCCCAAGAUAAGCCUCUGUUGAAUUCUUUGGAUUCUAGAUUUACCCUCCCUAUUGCUAUUGUUACAGCAACAAUCCCAGAUCCUUUGCUAAUCACAGUUGAUUACUCCCACCAAUGCAGUCACUCCUCCCUUUGCUGGCUGAACUACUAUCAUGAGAAACUCAAAGUGAGGGAGUUUCACGUUCAGUGAAGCCUCCUCCACCCAACCCCUCGUGCUUGUGUUGGUGUUCAAUUGCUAAGUCGUGUCCAAUGUUUUGUGACUCUUUUGCAAACUGUAGCCCACCAGGCUCCUCUGUUCGUGGGAUUUCCUUGGCAAGAAUACUAGAACAAGUUGCCAUUUCCUUCUCCAGGGGGUCUUACCAACCCAGGGAUCAAACCCAUGUCUCCUGCAUUGGCAGGAGAAUUCUUUACCACUGAGCCAGCAGGGAAGCCCCCACCCAACCCCUGGAGAGUUAAUUAUUAUAAUCCAGCAAAGCCUGGAUUUGAGAGGCAGGAAACACAAAUUCUGUGAGUCACUGGGAGUGAUGAUAAAAUGGGCUAAUCCUGCUCCCAUUCCGGGCUUUCCAGAGCUAUGUCUUUAGCUCUGUCUUUAUUGGUUGAUUGGAAGCAUUUACCACAUCAGAAGCUGGCUGCUUCUGAUUGAUGAGGGUAUGACCAUCUCGGUGGAGUCUAUGGUCAUGUGUGUAUUUUCACUUUUUGUUUUGGCUGUAAAAUAUAUUCCUCGGUUAGGGUAACAAUCAGGAAUGCUAUAAUUCUGGUGAUUGUCAAUGUUGGCAGAGUCACUUCAGGCAAGAAAGACAAACCUAGGAGUCUCUGGAUGUUUGUACAUCAGUCCAUGUCUCUCUAAAAACAUGCGAUGAAGAAUACUGCCCCAGGCUCUGCCAACUGGCAAGAUUUCCCUUCACCUUUGUUCUUUAAAGCCAUCCCUGAGUAGGACUUUGCACAGCCACAGUUCAGUUUUUCCUACACACCAACACAUCUGUGAACCACACUUAAGCUUUUUAUUCUGAGAUUGGUAGUUGUAGGGAGCCCCAGGAGGGCAGAGGAGUGAGUUGAGGAAGAGGUGCCACUGCUAUGGACAUUCCAUGGAAGUCUGAGUCACCCUUUCAUGUAAUUUACUUGUGUCUUCUGGACCUGUUCAGGCUCAGCCCUACACUGUUUAUAUUCUUCAACCAAUUGCUGCUGUACUCAUGCACUUAUGACUUAGUGGAUCUGAUAAAAUCCAGCUCAUGAUAGACAGCGCUAGUGUUCCCAGUGGAGAAUAGUUUUCUGGCUCAGGCAUGGCCUUGCAGAAUACUCAGGAUCUGUGCUGCAACUCUUUUACUGGGAACUUUCCAGAAAUUUCACACAGGGCUCUUAUCCAUCACAGAUCCCUCAAGUACCAUUAGAUCUGCAGGAACAAAUAGUCUGAACAUUAGGCAACGUGCAUCAUGGCCCUUCUGGGCAACAUAGCCAGCUGAUAGGUACUUUAGUUUUAUAAUAAGUUUGUUUCAACAUCCUUACUUCUGGGAAACAUAUUCUGGUGGUUCUUUUGUUUCACCUAAUAAAUUCAUUCUAACACUCCUGCUCCCCUGAGUCUUCUGAUUCCUUUCUCAAUAGUCAUUCAGAGUUGUUCUAACAUCUCAUUUAGCACAGGCCAUCAGCAUAGCCAAGCUUUAAGGAGGCAUGAAGCGUUUGUAUUAGGACUGAUUCCAGGUAUCCUUGUCAAACUUUAAAUCCAGAAUCAUAAGUAAAUGGCGCCAUGUCAUAAAUUCUUUGUUACCUAGCCUUACAACUUCAUUCCUAUGUUUUAACACUCUAAAUAUCUACUCCUGCAUAUAAUCCCCUGGUUUCUAUUGGUUAUGUUAGACAGUUUUGCAGUUCUUUAUCUAUAGGUCAGUGAUUCUCAAUGGGUGAUUUUGAUGCCAAGGAGACAUUUGGUACUGUCUAGAAACAUUUUUGAUUGUCAUUACUGAGAGAGUUCUAUUGACAUCGAAUGAGUAGAGGCCAGGGAUAUUGCUAAACACCUACAAUACACAGGACAGCCUCCGCAGCAAAGAAUUACCCAGCCCCAAAUGUCACUAGUACUGAGAUUGAAUAAUUCUGGUCUGAUUCCCCCUGGAGCAGGGAUUGCAAUCUCCAUGUAGAUUGGGCUGAGAUCUGACGCUGGUUACAGGUUUGAAGCAGUGGCAGUUGGGAGGAUAUUGGGGAAAAUAAGGUCAUAAAUAAGGCACUUGCCUCCGAUAUACUCUUUGCCGUAUUUCUGGACAAGGAGAGGCUGCUUUCCUUUAUCAAAAGAAAGACUGUUGACAGAGAGGAUGACAAAAAAAUCUGACCAUUUAAGAUUAUAAGACAUGGGCACACAAAUAUCCACAUUCUAGAUCUCAAGACUUCAUUGUUUUCCUACUAGGGCUGUAGUUUUGACGUGGGUGAUAUUUCAAGUCUGUGCAUUUAGACUGCUUUGCAGCCCUGCCACCCUUAUGAUUAUAUACUGAAGCUGAUUUUUAGCACAGUCUGCUCGGUGGUUACUGUGCCCUAGAGGCUUCUGGCUUUCACACUGGGCCAUGAUUUGAUUAUUGUUAGCCCUGUCAUUGCUAGUCCACAGUAUCAUUGCUUCCACAGUGCUCAAGUCCCAUAGCCACUGUGUAAUUCAGUGCUUCAUUUUCUGUCUGCUCUUCAUUCUAAUCUACUACAGUAAAGUCUUGAUAAUCAGCUUUGCUUCUACUGUAUGCAGGAGUUGUCACCACUUGCAAUUUAUCAACAACCACUUAACCACCAGCAGGGGUCCUUAUUGUCUUGUAAUCAGUGUUGUAAGAACUGCCUCCAAAAUCUCAUACUGAGGCUUUGCUUUUUGGAGUCACUUUUGAGGACCAGAGUUCCCCUGAAAGUGAAAGUGAAAGUCUCUCAGUCAUGUCUGACUCUUUGCAACCCCAUGGACUA